Molecule: ribosomal RNA, 490 nt
Filed under: uncultured bacterium
Lineage: Bacteria
Description: partial 16S ribosomal RNA
Rfam family: Bacterial small subunit ribosomal RNA
Source: RNAcentral
GAUGAACGCUCGCUACAGGCUUAACACAUGCAAGUCGCGGGGCAGCAUGGGGGUUGCUUGCAAUCCCCGAUGGCGACCGGCGCACGGGUGAGUAACGCGUAUCCAACCUGCCCUUCACCACGGGAUAACCCGGCGAAAGUCGGACUAAUACCGUAUGUUGUCCAUUGACGGCAUCCGAUUUGGACGAAAGGUUUGGCGGUGAAGGAUGGGGAUGCGUCCGAUUAGCUGGACGGCGGGGUGACGGCCCACCGUGGCGACGAUCGGUAGGGGUUCUGAGAGGAAGGUCCCCCACACUGGAACUGAGACACGGUCCAGACUCCUACGGGAGGCAGCAGUGAGGAAUAUUGGUCAAUGGGCGUAAGCCUGAACCAGCCAAGUAGCGUGCAGGAUGACGGCCCUAUGGGUGGUAAACUGCUUUUAUGCGGGGAUAAAGUGGCCCACGUGUGGGUUUUUGCAGGUACCGCAUGAAUAAGGACCGGCUAAUUCCGUG